GACGAACGCUGGCGGCGUGCUUAACGCAUGCAAGUCGAACGGAAAGGCCUCAGCUUGCUGGGGUACUCGAGUGGCGAACGGGUGAGUAACACGUGGGUGAUCUGCCUUGCACUCUGGGAUAAGCUUGGGAAACUGGGUCUAAUACCGGAUAUGAACUGCCUUUAGUGUGGUGGUUGGAAAGUUUUUUCGGUGCAAGAUGAGCUCGCGGCCUAUCAGCUUGUUGGUGGGGUAAUGGCCUACCAAGGCGUCGACGGGUAGCCGGCCUGAGAGGGUGUACGGCCACAUUGGGACUGAGAUACGGCCCAGACUCCUACGGGAGGCAGCAGUGGGGAAUAUUGCACAAUGGGCGGAAGCCUGAUGCAGCGACGCCGCGUGGGGGAUGACGGCCUUCGGGUUGUAAACUCCUUUCGACAGGGACGAAGCUUUUUGUGACGGUACCUGUAUAAGAAGCACCGGCUAACUACGUG
This 467-nucleotide ribosomal RNA is filed under the name uncultured bacterium. RNAcentral describes it as "partial 16S ribosomal RNA". It matches the Rfam family "Bacterial small subunit ribosomal RNA", at positions 28 to 507 of the family's 1533-position model. The record is from RNAcentral.